This 63-nucleotide non-coding RNA is filed under the name Desulfomicrobium macestii. Lineage: Bacteria; Pseudomonadati; Thermodesulfobacteriota; Desulfovibrionia; Desulfovibrionales; Desulfomicrobiaceae. The record is from RNAcentral.
GAGCGAAACCUCCUGCGGGAGGUCGUCCGGGCGUGGCGGCCCGGGCCUGAUGAGCAGCCGAGG